This 216-nucleotide ribosomal RNA is filed under the name uncultured bacterium. Its description in RNAcentral is "partial 16S ribosomal RNA". It matches the Rfam family "Bacterial small subunit ribosomal RNA", at positions 1286 to 1500 of the family's 1533-position model. The record is from RNAcentral.
UCCCAGUUCGGAUUGUAGUCUGCAACCCGACUACAUGAAGCUGGAAUCGCUAGUAAUCGCGGAUCAGAAUGCCGCGGUGAAUACGUUCCCGGGUCUUGUACACACCGCCCGUCACACCAUGGGGAGUCGGAAAUGCCCGAAGUCUGUGACCCAACCUUAGGGAGGGAGCAGCCGAAGGCAGGUCGGAUGACUGGGGUGAAGUCGUAACAAGGUAUC